Molecule: ribosomal RNA, 506 nt
Filed under: uncultured bacterium
Lineage: Bacteria
Description: partial 16S ribosomal RNA
Rfam family: Bacterial small subunit ribosomal RNA
Source: RNAcentral
AGUGAGCGCUGGCGGUAGGCCUAACACAUGCAAGUCGAACGGCAGCACAGGAGAGCUUGCUCUCUGGGUGGCGAGUGGCGGACGGGUGAGGAAUACAUCGGAAUCUACUCUGUCGUGGGGGAUAACGUAGGGAAACCUACGCUAAUACCGCAUACGACCUACGGGUGAAAGCAGGGGACCUUCGGGCCUUGCGCGAUUGAAUGAGCCGAUGUCGGAUUAGCUAGUUGGCGGGGUAAAGGCCCACCAAGGCGACGAUCCGUAGCUGGUCUGGGAGGAUGAUCAGCCACACUGGAACUGAGACACGGUCCAGACUCCUACGGGAGGCAGCAGUGGGGAAUAUUGGACAAUGGGCGCAAGCCUGAUCCAGCCAUACCGCGUGGGUGAAGAAGGCCUUCGGGUUGUAAAGCCCUUUUGUUGGGAAAGAAAUCCAGCUGGCCAAUACCCGGUUGGGAUGACGGUACCCAAAGAAUAAGCACCGGCUAACUUCGUGCCAGCAGCCGCCGUAA